This 554-nucleotide ribosomal RNA is filed under the name Nakaseomyces glabratus. RNAcentral describes it as "eukaryotic LSU rRNA". It matches the Rfam family "Eukaryotic large subunit ribosomal RNA", at positions 78 to 637 of the family's 3401-position model. Lineage: Eukaryota; Fungi; Ascomycota; Saccharomycetes; Saccharomycetales; Saccharomycetaceae. The record is from RNAcentral.
CCUUAGUAACGGCGAGUGAAGCGGCAAAAGCUCAAAUUUGAAAUCUGGUACCUUUGGUGCCCGAGUUGUAAUUUGGAGAGUACCACUUUGGGACUGUACUUUGCCUAUGUUCCUUGGAACAGGACGUCAUGGAGGGUGAGAAUCCCGUGUGGCGAGGGUGUCAGUUCUUUGUAAAGGGUGCUCGAAGAGUCGAGUUGUUUGGGAAUGCAGCUCUAAGUGGGUGGUAAAUUCCAUCUAAAGCUAAAUACAGGCGAGAGACCGAUAGCGAACAAGUACAGUGAUGGAAAGAUGAAAAGAACUUUGAAAAGAGAGUGAAAAAGUACGUGAAAUUGUUGAAAGGGAAGGGCAUUUGAUCAGACAUGGUGUUUUGCGCCCCUUGCCUCUCGUGGGCUUGGGACUCUCGCAGCUCACUGGGCCAGCAUCGGUUUUGGCGGCCGGAAAAAACCUAGGGAAUGUGGCUCUGCGCCUCGGUGUAGAGUGUUAUAGCCCUGGGGAAUACGGCCAGCCGGGACCGAGGACUGCGAUACUUGUUAUCUAGGAUGCUGGCAUAAUGG